Molecule: ribosomal RNA, 864 nt
Filed under: uncultured Fibrobacterota bacterium
Lineage: Bacteria; Pseudomonadati; Fibrobacterota
Description: bacterial SSU rRNA
Rfam family: Bacterial small subunit ribosomal RNA
Source: RNAcentral
CAAGUCGAGCGGGUCGCAAGACCAGCGGCGGACGGGUGAGUAACACGUAAAGAAUCUGCCCUGAAGCGGGGAAUAACUAUCCCAACGGAUAGCUAAUACCGCAUAAUGAUGGAGGUGGCAUCACCUCUUCUCAAAAGGCUUCGGCCACUUCAGGAUGACUUUGCGUCCCAUUAGCUUGUUGGCGGUGUAACGGACCACCAAGGCGACGAUGGGUAUCCGGCCUGAGAGGGUGUACGGACACAUUGGGACUGAGAUACGGCCCAGACUCCUACGGGAGGCAGCAGUAGGGAAUUUUGCGCAAUGGGGGAAACCCUGACGCAGCAACGCCAUGUGUGGGAUGAAGCAUUUCGGUGUGUAAACCACUGUCAGCAGGGAAUAAAAGGCCUUUUAGGCAUUUGAAUGUACCUGCGAAGGAAGCCCCGGCUAACUUCGUGCCAGCAGCCGCGGUAAUACGAGGGGGGCAAAUGUUGUUCGGAAUCACUGGGCGUAAAGGGAGCGUAGGCGGGUUUCUAAGUCAGGUGUUUAAUCCCGGGGCCCAACCCCGGACAGGCACUUGAAACUGGGAAUCUUGAAUAGGGGAGAGGUCAGUGGAAUUGGAGGUGUAGCGGUGGAAUGCGUAGAGAUCUCCAAGAACACCAGUUGCGAAGGCGGCUGACUGGACCCAUAUUGACGCUGAGGCUCGAAAGCAUGGGGAGCAAACAGGAUUAGAUACCCUGGUAGUCCAUGCCAUAAACGAUGAAUACUAGGUUUUGGGCCCGUCAACGGUCCAGAGCCGCAGCUAACGCGUUAAGUAUUCCGCCUGGGGAGUACGGUCGCAAGACUGAAACUCAAAGGAAUUUGACGGGGGCCCGCACAAGCGGUGGA